CCCAGGUACUUGUGUUGUUUUCUAAUUACUAGAUGCAAUUAGAGUAAUUCUACUUCUUUCUACAGGUUCUGCAGUCUGACAGUGGAAUCUGACUGGGACUAAAUUCAGCUGUGGUUAUCUACCUAGCAAAAUACGUGUUUGCUUCGGGAAUAAGCGAUGGAAAAGAAAUAGUAGAAACAGAUGAACAGGCUUCAACUUGGAUGGCACUGCUGGCAAAAGCAGCAAGACAAUUUGCAGUAUAUGAAGAGAGAGUUACAUCUACUUAAUGACGCACAGGAUUAUGCAAAGCCAGGAGAAUGCAAACAAGCUAUGAGCUGCCGAAGUAGUUGCUCCCAUUAUGUAUGGCCCCACAGGACAGAUAACUCGUGUAACUGCAUAUAAUUAUGAAGGUAUUAUUUUACCAUUUGCUAGAUUGAUUUUCAGCUAUAAUAUAUUGUUUGCACAAUCAGGAAAGUUCAGAGGGUGCCAUGAAGGUGAUCUGAGGGCUGGAGCACCUUUCCUAUGAAGACAGGCUGAGAGAGCUGGGCUUGUUCAGCCUGUAGAAGAGGAGGCU
Long non-coding RNA from Pezoporus flaviventris, 553 nucleotides. RefSeq lists it as uncharacterized. Lineage: Eukaryota; Metazoa; Chordata; Aves; Psittaciformes; Psittacidae. The record is from RefSeq and is a predicted model, not a curated record. The transcript is spliced from 3 exons.